UGAGGAGGAAGACGCAGUGAACUGAAACAUCUAAGUAGCUGCAGGAAGAGAAAGCAAAAGCGAUUGCCUUAGUAGCGGCGAGCGAAACGGCAGGAGGGCAAACCGAAGAGUUUACUCUUCGGGGUUGUAGGACUGCAAUGUGGACUCAAAGAUUAUAGAAGAAUGAUUUGGGAAGAUCAGCCAAAGAGAGUAAUAGCCUCGUAUUUUAAAUAGUCUUUGUACCUAGCAGUAUCCUGAGUACGGCGGGACACGUGAAAUCCCGUCGGAAUCUGGGAGGACCAUCUCCCAACCCUAAAUACUCCCUAGUGACCGAUAGUGAACCAGUACCGUGAGGGAAAGGUGAAAAGCACCCCGGGAGGGGAGUGAAAUAGAACCUGAAACCGUGUGCCUACAACAAGUUCGAGCCCGUUAAUGGGUGAGAGCGUGCCUUUUGUAGAAUGAACCGGCGAGUUACGUUAUGAUGCGAGGUUAAGUUGAAGAGACGGAGCCGUAGGGAAACCGAGUCUGAAUAGGGCGCCUUAGUAUCAUGACGUAGACCCGAAACCAUGUGACCUACCCAUGAGCAGGUUGAAGGUGCGGUAAGACGCACUGGAGGACCGAACCAGGGCACGUUGAAAAGUGCUUGGAUGACUUGUGGGUAGCGGAGAAAUUCCAAACGAACUUGGAGAUAGCUGGUUCUCUCCGAAAUAGCUUUAGGGCUAGCGUCGACAUUAGAGAUUCUUGGAGGUAGAGCACUGUUUGGGUGAGGGGUCCAUCCCGGAUUACCAAUCUCAGAUAAACUCCGAAUGCCAAUGAAUUAUGGUCGGCAGUCAGACUGCGAGUGCUAAGAUCCGUAGUCGAAAGGGAAACAGCCCAGACCACCAGCUAAGGUCCCAAAAUAAUUGUUAAGUGGAAAAGGAUGUGGGGUUGCACAGACAACUAGGAUGUUAGCUUAGAAGCAGCUAUUCAUUCAAAGAGUGCGUAAUAGCUCACUAGUCGAGUGACCCUGCGCCGAAAAUGUACCGGGGCUAAAACAAUUUACCGAAGCUGUGGAUACCUUUAUAGGUAUGGUAGGAGAGCGUUCUAUGUGUGAUGAAGGUAUACCGUGAGGAGUGCUGGAACGCAUAGAAGUGAGAAUGCCGGUAUGAGUAGCGAAAGACAGGUGAGAAUCCUGUCCACCGUAAGACUAAGGUUUCCAGGGGAAGGCUCGUCCGCCCUGGGUUAGUCGGGACCUAAGGAGAGACCGAAAGGUGUAUCCGAUGGACAACAGGUUGAUAUUCCUGUACUAGAGUAUGUAGUGAUGGAGGGACGCAGUAGGCUAACUAAAGCAGACGAUUGGAAGAGUCUGUCUAAGCAGUGAGGUGUGAAUUGAGUCAAAUGCUUAAUUCUAUAACAUUGAGCUGUGAUGGGGAGCGAAGUUUAGUAGCGAAGUUAGUGACGUCACACUGCCAAGAAAAGCUUCUAGCGUUUAAACAUACUCUACCCGUACCGCAAACCGACACAGGUAGUCGAGGCGAGUAGCCUCAGGUGAGCGAGAGAACUCUCGUUAAGGAACUCGGCAAAAUGACCCCGUAACUUCGGGAGAAGGGGUGCUGACUUUAAGUCAGCCGCAGUGAAUAGGCCCAAGCAACUGUUUAUCAAAAACACAGCUCUCUGCUAAAUCGUAAGAUGAUGUAUAGGGGGUGACGCCUGCCCGGUGCUGGAAGGUUAAGAGGAGUGCUUAGCGUAAGCGAAGGUAUGAAUUGAAGCCCCAGUAAACGGCGGCCGUAACUAUAACGGUCCUAAGGUAGCGAAAUUCCUUGUCGGGUAAGUUCCGACCCGCACGAAAGGCGUAAUGAUUUGGGCACUGUCUCAACGAGAGACUCGGUGAAAUUUUAGUACCUGUGAAGAUGCAGGUUACCCGCGACAGGACGGAAAGACCCCAUGGAGCUUUACUGCAGUUUGAUAUUGAGUGUCUGUACCACAUGUACAGGAUAGGUAGGAGUCUAAGAGAUCGGGACGCCAGUUUCGAAGGAGACGCUGUUGGGAUACUACCCUUGUGUUAUGGCCACUCUAACCCAGAUAGGUGAUCCCUAUCGGAGACAGUGUCUGACGGGCAGUUUGACUGGGGCGGUCGCCUCCUAAAAGGUAACGGAGGCGCCCAAAGGUUCCCUCAGAAUGGUUGGAAAUCAUUCGCAGAGUGUAAAGGUAUAAGGGAGCUUGACUGCGAGAGCUACAACUCGAGCAGGGACGAAAGUCGGGCUUAGUGAUCCGGUGGUUCCGUAUGGAAGGGCCAUCGCUCAACGGAUAAAAGCUACCCUGGGGAUAACAGGCUUAUCUCCCCCAAGAGUUCACAUCGACGGGGAGGUUUGGCACCUCGAUGUCGGCUCGUCGCAUCCUGGGGCUGUAGUCGGUCCCAAGGGUUGGGCUGUUCGCCCAUUAAAGCGGCACGCGAGCUGGGUUCAGAACGUCGUGAGACAGUUCGGUCCCUAUCCGUCGCGGGCGUAGGAAAUUUGAGAGGAUCUGCUCCUAGUACGAGAGGACCAGAGUGGACUUACCGCUGGUGUACCAGUUGUCUUGCCAAAGGCAUCGCUGGGUAGCUAUGUAGGGAAGGGAUAAACGCUGAAAGCAUCUAAGUGUGAAACCCACCUCAAGAUGAGAUUUCCCAU
This 2627-nucleotide ribosomal RNA is filed under the name Streptococcus pneumoniae. RNAcentral describes it as "partial 23S ribosomal RNA". It matches the Rfam family "Bacterial large subunit ribosomal RNA". The record is from RNAcentral. Lineage: Bacteria; Bacillati; Bacillota; Bacilli; Lactobacillales; Streptococcaceae.